Long non-coding RNA from Gasterosteus aculeatus aculeatus (three-spined stickleback), 2655 nucleotides. The record is from Ensembl. NCBI's taxonomy places the organism in Eukaryota, Metazoa, Chordata, Actinopteri, Perciformes, Gasterosteidae.
GCCAUUCUGAAUUCACUUCUACUGUUGAACUUGACGAGUGUAGCUGUGUUACCUAAAGAGUUGAACGGUCUGAGGCCCAAUCCCGUGGAAAAUAACCUGUGGAGAAUAAAUUGUUGGAGAACCGACCAAAAGUACUAACGAGUGUUACGUGGAGGAGACGAUGUCUUCCAGUGGACCCCCUGCGGUGGAGCCCCUGCUGAGCAGAGUCAGACGGUGGAUCCUUGCCUUUGCAAGUGAACCCCUCUGGCCCCUGUUCGCUGACCGCCCUGUCGUCCAGAGGGCCCUCGACGACGUGGUUCUUCCGGAUUACGAGGACGAGCUGAAGGAGGCCGAGCCCACCAGAGGGGACGGUGAGCCACAGGUUCCUCCUCCUCCUCCCUUUGCUGCUCCCUACCCUGCUCCCUACUCUCACCCCUAUGCUGCUGCACGCUAUGCUGCUGCUCCCUACCCUGCUCCAUACCCUGCUCCCUAUGCUGCUCCCUCUUCUGCUGCUCCCUUUGCUGCUCCCUACCCUGCUCACUACCUUGCUCCUUACCCUGCUCCCUACUCUCACCCCUAUGCUGCUGCACGCUAUGCUGCUGCUCCCUACCCUGCUCCCUACUCUCACCCCUAUGCUACUGCUCGCUAUGCUGCUGCUCCCUACCCUGCUCCCUAUGCUGCUCCCUAUGCUGCUGCUCCCUUUGCUGCUCCCUACCCUGCUCGCUACGUUGCUCCUUACCCUGUUCCCUACUCUCACGCCUAUGCUGCUGCUCCCUAUGCUGCCGCUCCCUAUGCUGCUCCCUAUGCGGCUCCCUAUGCUGCUGCUCCCUAUGCUUAUGCUUUUGCUGCCUUUGCUGACCUUAACGCUGACCCUCACGCUGACCUUAACGCUGACCCUCACGCUGACCCUCAUGCUGACCUUAACGCUGUCCCUCAUGAUGGUGAUGAUGAUAUGAACGAUGAAAUUAACCGUAUGCUUCAAAGAUACAGGUUAGGGCUCCCCGAUGAGGAGGAGGACUCUGACAUUGAUGUCGUGGGUGAGUUUGCGUUACAGGUCCCUUUACUGGACAUUGAAGACAUCGGGCCAGUGCCCCCAGAAGACUCUUUUGAGGAGCUCCUGGAUGCAGAUGUUCUUGAAUCUCCCUCAACUUCUGGCCUCGACUCUUCGGCAAAACGGCGCAGGGACGAGAGCGACGGGGAGGAGUCUGCUGCGAAGAGGGCGCGUUAGUCUGAAGACAGCGACUCUGAUUGACAAUCCUCUGGGAAGCUUCGGAGCAACCACUGAGUCCACUUGCAGCAGGAACAGUGGUUGCCAUGGUAGCCUUUGCGUCUGGCAGGGCUAGUGUCCCCCAUGUAGCGUCUUGCAUUGGGGCUUUUCUGUAUUAUGUAGUCAUAUUUGCACAAGACAUCGGUCAACCUUUAUUUCAUCCUGAGGCCUUUGCGUCUGGCGGGGCUGUUGACCCCUUCUGCAGGUACUGGUAUCCUUUGCGUCUGGCAGGGCUUGUGUCCCCCAUGUAGCGUCUUGCUCUGGGGCUUUUCUUCUUCUUUGCGCGGUGGAUCGAUCAACUUUUCUUUCAUCCUGACGGCCGGCCUUUGCGACUGGCUUGGCCGGCGCUGCCUCAGGUAGCCUUUGCGUCUGGCAGAGGCGUUGACACGCCGAGCAUGUAGCCUUUGCGUCUGGCAGGGUUGAAGAAGACAAAAAUGCUUUUAUGUCUCGUUUUAUGCCUCCCCCUCCCCCACAGUGUCCACAUUCCUUUACAGGUUAAGAGUGAAGGUAUCAGUGAAAACUGACAAACAACAGAGUAAGUAGAACUCCCAAGGUUAGAAAUGCCUUCAUAUGGCCAAAUAUAGUGUAUGCCGUUAUGGAAAUUCAUAAUAUUCAAAUAUUUAUAAUUACUUCCCAUACUAAUCAUGUUUUUAUCCCAUUUGGCCGUGUGAAAAAGUAAGUACCAGCGUCUGUUUUGUUCAGACAGUGACCUAUAACAUGAAUACAAAGAAGUAAUAUGCAAAGAUAAUUUGCCCGUGCCACUUACCAUUAUGUGUUGUUACCUCUCUCACUUUGCCACCUGAGAUGCUGCUGUUCAAUGUGGACGAAAAAGCUGCUGCUGUUCACCGAGGACCAAAAGGCCGCUACCUCUCGCUGUGGACUAAAAGAUGAGGAGCAGCAAAGGAGGAAGAGCCGGACUCCGGGUUCCUGCAGGACAUCCAGGGCUACACGUUGAACACUAAAAAGAAACGCCCACAUUCCACUCCCAGGACAAGAUGGAGAGCAGCUAAGUUGAACUACUUCCUGUUCUUCUGUUUCAGAGACUCAACUUCCUGCACUACAUCCAGGGUGACCAUGACGACAGAAGACAAUCGCUCACUCCCGACCAGGUGAGAAGGACCGUGACCAGAGGAGAGCUUUAGGCGUCCACGGUUCAGUGGAGGCAGCACUCCUGUUUUAUCCUUUGGAAAUCCUCGUGGUCCUGAGAGUGGAUGUAAACAGAAGUGCAAGCAGCCGUCCACUCAGAACAUUUCUCCACCUCACUGUUUAGAUGAAGAAUUCAAUAAAACACUUCUCAUAGAACCCUUUUGUUUUGGGAGAUUUCUUUGGUUCAAUCUCAUGUUCAUGUGAACCUUUUGGAGCGUUGAAUCGGUCGCAGGUGUCAUGAAAUGCAUCCUGGUUUAAAUGGC